Molecule: ribosomal RNA, 785 nt
Filed under: Escherichia coli
Lineage: Bacteria; Pseudomonadati; Pseudomonadota; Gammaproteobacteria; Enterobacterales; Enterobacteriaceae
Description: partial 23S ribosomal RNA
Rfam family: Bacterial large subunit ribosomal RNA
Source: RNAcentral
GACCAUCCUCCAAGGCUAAAUACUCCUGACUGACCGAUAGUGAACCAGUACCGUGAGGGAAAGGCGAAAAGAACCCCGGCGAGGGGAGUGAAAAAGAACCUGAAACCGUGUACGUACAAGCAGUGGGAGCCUCUUAAUGGGGUGACUGCGUACCUUUUGUAUAAUGGGUCAGCGACUUAUAUUCUGUAGCAAGGUUAACCGAAUAGGGGAGCCGAAGGGAAACCGAGUCUUAACUGGGCGUUAAGUUGCAGGGUAUAGACCCGAAACCCGGUGAUCUAGCCAUGGGCAGGUUGAAGGUUGGGUAACACUAACUGGAGGACCGAACCGACUAAUGUUGAAAAAUUAGCGGAUGACUUGUGGCUGGGGGUGAAAGGCCAAUCAAACCGGGAGAUAGCUGGUUCUCCCCGAAAGCUAUUUAGGUAGCGCCUCGUGAAUUCAUCUCCGGGGGUAGAGCACUGUUUCGGCAAGGGGGUCAUCCCGACUUACCAACCCGAUGCAAACUGCGAAUACCGGAGAAUGUUAUCACGGGAGACACACGGCGGGUGCUAACGUCCGUCGUGAAGAGGGAAACAACCCAGACCGCCAGCUAAGGUCCCAAAGUCAUGGUUAAGUGGGAAACGAUGUGGGAAGGCCCAGACAGCCAGGAUGUUGGCUUAGAAGCAGCCAUCAUUUAAAGAAAGCGUAAUAGCUCACUGGUCGAGUCGGCCUGCGCGGAAGAUGUAACGGGGCUAAACCAUGCACCGAAGCUGCGGCAGCGACACUAUGUGUUGUUGGGUAGGGGAGCG